GAUGAACGCUGGCGGCGUGCCUAAUACAUGCAAGUCGAGCGAACAGAUGAGGAGCUUGCUCCUCUGACGUUAGCGGCGGACGGGUGAGUAACACGUGGAUAACCUACCUAUAAGACUGGGAUAACUUCGGGAAACCGGAGCUAAUACCGGAUAAUAUAUCGAACCGCAUGGUUCAAUAGUGAAAGACGGUUUUGCUGUCACUUAUAGAUGGAUCCGCGCCGCAUUAGCUAGUUGGUAAGGUAACGGCUUACCAAGGCAACGAUGCGUAGCCGACCUGAGAGGGUGAUCGGCCACACUGGAACUGAGACACGGUCCAGACUCCUACGGGAGGCAGCAGGAGGGAAUCUUCCGCAAUGGGCGAAAGCCUGACGGAGCAACGCCGCGUGAGUGAUGAAGGUCUUCGGAUCGUAAAACUCUGUUAUUAGGGAAGAACAAAUGUGUAAGUAACGAUGCACGUCUUGACGGUACCUAAGCAGAAAGCCACGGCUAACUACGU
RNAcentral lists this ribosomal RNA (496 nucleotides) under uncultured bacterium. RNAcentral describes it as "partial 16S ribosomal RNA". It matches the Rfam family "Bacterial small subunit ribosomal RNA", at positions 28 to 506 of the family's 1533-position model. The record is from RNAcentral.